Molecule: ribosomal RNA, 1466 nt
Filed under: uncultured Bordetella sp.
Lineage: Bacteria; Pseudomonadati; Pseudomonadota; Betaproteobacteria; Burkholderiales; Alcaligenaceae
Description: partial 16S-23S ribosomal RNA intergenic spacer
Rfam family: Bacterial small subunit ribosomal RNA
Source: RNAcentral
CGAUUCUGGCUCAGAUUGAACGCUGGCGGGAUCGCUUCCACACAUGCAAGUCGAACGGCAGCACGGACUUCGGUCUGGCGGUGUAGUGGCGAACGGGUGGUAUCAUCGGGACGUGCCUAAUGUGAGGAUAACUGCACGGCGUAGCUAAUACCACAUACGCCCUUCGGGGAAGCGAGGCCUUCGGGCCUCGCACUAUUAGAGCGGCCGAUAUCGGAUUAGCUAGUUGGUGGGAGUAACGGCUCGCAAGGCGACGAUCCGUAGCUGGUUUGAGAGGGACGACCAGCCACACACUGGGACUGAGACGGCCGGAACUCCUACGGGAGAGGCAGCAGUGAGGAAUUUUUGGACAAUGGGGGGAAACCCUGAUCCAGCCAUCCGCGUGUGCGAUGAAGGCCUUCUGGUUCGCAACACCUUUGGCAGGAAAGAAACGGCACGGGAUAAUACCACGUGCAACUGACGGUACCUGCAGAAUAAGCACCGGCUAACUACGUGCCAGCAGCCGCGGUAAUACGUAAGUGCAAGCGUUAAUCGGAAUUACUGGGCGUAAAGCGUGCGCAGGCGGUUCGGAAAGAAAAGAUGUGAAAUCCAGAGCUUAACUUUGGAACUGCAUUUUUAACUACCGAGCUAGAGUGUGUCAGAGGGAGGUGGAAUUCCGCGUGUAGCAGUGAAAUGCGUAGAUAUGCGGAGAAGACACCGAUGGCGAAGGCAGCCUCGCAAGGAUAACACUGACGCUCUUUUGCGAAAGCGUGGGAAGCAAACAGGUUGAUACCUGGUGAUCCACGCCCUAAACGAUGUCAACUAGCUGUUGGGGCCUUCGGGCGCGGUAGCGCAACUAACGCGUGAAGUUGACCGCGCCGAUGCAGUCGCAAGAUUAAGAGCUCAAAGGAAUUGACUGGGGACCCGCACAAGCGGUGGAUGAUGUGGUUAAAUUCGAUGCAACGCGAAAAGCGCCUACCCUUGACAUGUCUGGAAUCCAGAAGAGAUUUGGGAGUGCUCGCAAAGGAAACCGAAACACAGGUGCUGCAUGGCUGUCAUUGGCUCGUGUCGUGAGAUGUUGGGUUAAGUCCGCAACGAGCGCAACCCUUGUCAUUAGUUGCUACGAAGGCACUCUAAUGAGACUGCCGGUAUGCAAACCGGAGAGGUGGGGAUGACGUCCAGUCCUCCCCCUUGGCCCUUAUGGGUAGGGCUUCACACGUCAUACAAUGGUCGGGACAGAGGGUCGCCAACCCGCGAGAGGCCAAUCCCAGAAACCCGAUCGUAGUCCGGAUCGCAGUCUGCAACUCGACUGCGUGAAGUCAGAAUCGCUAGUAAUCGCGGAUCAGCAUGUCGCGGUGAAUACGUUCCCGGGUCUUGUACACACCGCCCGUCACACCAUAGAAUUAGGUUUUACCAAGUAGUUAGCCUAACCGUAAGGAGGCGAUUACCACGGUAGGAUUCAUGACUGGGGUGAAGUCGUAACAAGGUAA